RNAcentral lists this ribosomal RNA (253 nucleotides) under uncultured bacterium. Its description in RNAcentral is "partial 16S ribosomal RNA". It matches the Rfam family "Bacterial small subunit ribosomal RNA", at positions 524 to 776 of the family's 1533-position model. The record is from RNAcentral.
GACAGAGGGGGCAAGCGUUGUUCGGAAUUACUGGGCGUAAAGGGUUCGUAGGUGGCCACUUAAGUCAGACGUGAAAUCCCUCAGCUUAACUGGGGAACUGCGUCUGAUACUGAGUGGCUUGAGUGCAGGAGAGGAAUGCGGAAUUCCAGGUGUAGCGGUGAAAUGCGUAGAUAUCUGGAGGAACACCGGUGGCGAAGGCGGCAUUCUGGACUGUAACUGACACUGAGGAAAGAAAGCCAGGGGAGCAAACGGG